Salarias fasciatus (jewelled blenny) is the source of this 1732-nucleotide long non-coding RNA. RefSeq lists it as uncharacterized. The transcript is spliced from 6 exons. The record is from RefSeq and is a predicted model, not a curated record. NCBI's taxonomy places the organism in Eukaryota, Metazoa, Chordata, Actinopteri, Blenniiformes, Blenniidae.
UUUAAUUCCAAAAUUGAUAAAUAAAUGCUUUCAGUUGGAAAAGAUUGAUGAGACACAUGACGUGGCAGAAUGAUGUGCAGCUGAAUCAAACCGUGGUGGUGUGAAUCAAAAGCAUUUAGAUAGGUGUGGAUUUUUUAACACACACACACACACACACACACACACACACACACACACACACACACACACACACACCGUGUGUUGAAUUGCAGCAGAGUAAAUGAUGCUGACAGUAAUGUGGAGUGACUCAGGGUGACUGAAUGGAUGGAUGAAUCGUGACUCAGCUGUUUUUAGUCGCAUUGUGAAUAACCUGACAGGUUGAACCGUUAACCAGCGGGCCUCCACCCAGGCUGCACCGUCACCGUCCCCCACACCCAGACGACACCGACUAACAGCGCCCUAACAGCGACUUCCUGACUCAAAGCAGCUCGAUACCGAGGCCACGGCGUCCUUCCUCUUCCCGGGGAUGACACGCCCGGCUCGCCUCGUCGGAUUGCGAGGGUCUGGUCACUGCCGCAGGACCUCCACUCGGCAAAGAUGGCCGGCCCGGGCCACACGGCCAGGGGGAAGACCCGGCCCGGUCCAGUUGGGACCACGCACAGAUAAUUUCGUCGAAACUCGAAUAACUCCUAAACUAAUGUCUACGAGUGGAGCUGUUGCUUCAUGUAAUCGCUGAUUUCUAUUUUUUUUUUUUUUUUUGAAGGUGGCGAAUCACCGAACUGCGGUCCGAAGGGGCAAGCCGAAAUACCCGGACCGAUUCUAGCGCGCGUCACGCUGCCCACCGCGCCGCGGAGCGGAGCAACGGUCCUCCGGAGCGGCGAACCCCCGGGCCCCGGGGGAGCCGCCGCGCGCCGCACCCAGCACCGCUGUAUUCACGUCGACCCACGGCGUCGUCCCCCGACUGCUCCUUACCAUGAUGUCCCGGGGUUUGUAAGCGCUGCUUCAGCGUCAGAUGGAGUCUUCCAAGUCGGGUGAACAGGGAGCGGAGAAUAUGGCCAUUUCACCGGGGGAGGCGGAUGAUAAAGAGAAGGGGCGGGGGCUGGGCCGGAAGACUUCAGAGCGCCGAGCCGAACCAACCGCCUGCGAGCCGCGCGGAAAAAAAACCACAUCACCUUAAAAGCGUAUUUUAAGUGUAGACAUCAGCGACAACAUUUGUAGAGCUAAUAGACAUUUUUAUCGGGGUUCGCUUUAAAGGCAAACAAGCGAACCAUUGAAAAUGGUGGUGUGUCAUGCUCAUGGAACACUUUGAUCUUGGAAGGUGAGGUGCCACCAGUUUUUCGCCUGAAGGGAAAAUUGGAUGACAUGACAGAGUACAGCCUUUUAAGGCUGAAGAGAGGAAGAAAAGUUGUCAACAAACAGCUGCUCCAGUUGUGCAGGGGAUGGAGACAACUGAAGAAGAGACCAGUGUGGUGGCCCGAGUUGUGGAGCACUGCAAGAAAGCAGCAGAAUGGGUGGAGAUGAACCCACAGCUGUCAGCAGCCAGGGUGGAGGUGCCUGACGGUUUGAGCAUGGACGACACAUCAUGCACUGAGGAGGCUGUGCAACAGCUGGAAAACCUCUUUCACGCCACCCUGGAUUUUGGUGAAGAGGAAAGAGAAGUGAUUCUGGAGCUUUUUAAGUUUUUGUUAUACAACAUUUGAGAUAUGUGUGUCUUUUGUGAAGAGAUCAUGGACAAAGGAGGGUACAUAGCAUACUGCGAGCGCAAAGAAAAAUAAAACAAAUUGGAAGUUUG